This 439-nucleotide ribosomal RNA is filed under the name uncultured bacterium. RNAcentral's name for it is "partial 16S ribosomal RNA". It matches the Rfam family "Bacterial small subunit ribosomal RNA", at positions 338 to 795 of the family's 1533-position model. The record is from RNAcentral.
CCUACGGGUGGCAGCAGUGGGGGAUAUUGCACAAUGGGGGGAACCCUGAUGCAGCGACGCCGCGUGGGUGAAGAAGCGCCUCGGCGCGUAAAGCUCUGUCAGCAGGGAAGAAAAUGACGGUACCUGACGAAGAAGCCCCGGCUAACUACGUGCCAGCAGCCGCGGUAAUACGUAGGGGGCAAGCGUUAUCCGGAUUUACUGGGUGAAAAGGGGGCGCAGACGGCGAAGCAAGCCAGGGGUGAAAGGCCGGGGCCCAACCCCGGGCCUGCUGUUGGAACUGCGUGGCUGGAGUGCAGGAGGGGCAGGCGGAAUUCCUGGUGUAGCGGUGAAAUGCGUAGAUAUCAGGAGGAACACCGGUGGCGAAGGCGGCCUGCGGGACUGCAACUGACGUUGAGGCCCGAAAGCGUGGGGAGCAAACAGGAUUAGAUACCCCAUAGUC